CCUACGGGUGGCAGCAGUGGGGAAUAUUGCACAAUGGGGGAAACCCUGAUGCAGCGACGCCGCGUGAGUGAAGAAGUAAUUCGUUACGUAAAGCUCUAUCAGCAAGGAAGAAAUACUGACCUAACGGUCAGCAGACGGUACCUGAGUAUGAAGCCCAGGCUAACUACGCGCCAGCAGCCGCGGUAAGACGUAGGGGGCAAGCGUUAUCCGGAUUUACUGGGUGUAAAGGGGGCGUAGACGGUGCGCCAAGUCUGAAGUGAAAUGCCGCAGGUUAACUGCGGAACUGCUUUGGAAACUGGCGAACUAGAGUGCUGGAGGGGUAAGCGGAAUUCCUAGUGUAGCGGUGAAAUGCGUAGAUAUUGGGAGGAACACCGGUGGCGAAGGCGGCUUACUGGACCGUAACUGACGUUGAGGCUCGAAAGCGUGGGGAGCGAACAGGAUUAGAUACCCGGGUAGUC
Molecule: ribosomal RNA, 458 nt
Filed under: uncultured bacterium
Lineage: Bacteria
Description: partial 16S ribosomal RNA
Rfam family: Bacterial small subunit ribosomal RNA
Source: RNAcentral